AACCCCCCUUCACUGGGCUGCGAUCAAAGGACAUCUGGAGGUGCUGCAGCUCCUGAUAGACCACGGAGCCAGGCCCUGCCUGGUCACUGAUGUGGGCUGGACCCCAGCUCAUUUUGCAGCUGAGUCGGGCCACCUGCAUGUGCUCAAAACGCUGCACGCGCUGCACGCCGCCAUCGAUGCCCCGGACUUCUUUGGAGACACGCCGAAGAGGAUCGCGCAGAUCUACGGGCAGAAGGCCUGUGUGGCCUUCCUGGAGAAAUGACAGAGGUGCCCUGGCUGUGUACAGAAGGCAGAGGAGAGGUCCCUCCGCAGGCCAGGCAGGCUGUCUGGUCCCCAGAUUGUGGGCUGAGAGCUGGCUCCCUUCUUCUAGGGCUGAGCCUCAGUGCCGGGACCACCGCCAGGCUGCCAGGCAGAAGGGGCUGCAGCUGGAUCAGCGGGACGAAGACUGGGAUGCCAAGAAGAGGGAGAUGGAGCUGUCGCUUCCUUCCUGGAAUCCAAACCCUGAGAAGAAAAAGAGUAAGAAACAUCGAGGGUCCACCAAGCUCAGCAACACUAAGGAGAGGAGAGCGUGAGAGGAUGGCCUCCGAGGGAUGGGAGCCUCUGAGGGAUGGCAGGAGACUUUCCCUGGUGCCAGAAUGGUUAUUAGGUAUGUGUCCUCCUGCUCCAUCCUAGACCAUUAAUUAUCCAGACAGCUUCUACCUGUAUCUCCUGACCUAUCAUUCAGCCUGGAAGUCUUGCCUGGACUCUCUACAUGGGCUGUCCCCUCCUUGCUAAUACCUGCUUGUCCCCAAGAAUGACCAGGAGGGAACAAAUGUGAUUUGCACUGUCGUCACUGCUUUGUACUGUCAGCAUCUCCUGAGCCCCUCAAUGCAAUUCUAGAGCUCCAGGCGCAAAGAAAAAUCUCCUCCUGAGGAAACUUCAUUGUUUCAAUGCAAAAAAAAAAAAAAAAAAAGCAACAACUGUAUCUGAAAAAUCUUCAACAUUCUCAGGUCAGUUAAUCUAUGAACAAAAGUUUGUUGUCACAUAGACCAAGCACAAAGAGGAAGAGAUGGGUCUUAGUUUCCAGCUAUUUAUUCUUAUGAGGGAUAGAAAACCACAAUUUCAGCAGGGCCAUUUUUACCACCAAUCCCUUCUACGUAGGAGAAAACAACCCGGACAAUAGACCAGCUCAGUGAGAAAUAAAAACCUUGGUUUAAUCUCUUCCCACUUAAUAAUGACACAUGGCAUAAAAUAAUGGAACAUGUGAUGACAGCUCUGUUUGAUCAGUGGUAUAUUUUAGAAAAUCUAAAUACAGAUCAGAUGCUGCCAAUGAAAAUAUUGCAUUGGCAUUGAGAUGCACUGUAAAUGUAAAAUGCGUAUUAUAUUUUGAAGACCUAGGAUAAAAAAUCAUGAAUCAUUAAUAAUAAUUAAUACUAAAUGUUAAAAUUUUUUUUUGGUCUUUUUGUCUUUUCUAGGGCCACACCCGUGGCAUAUGGAGGUUCCCAGGCUAGGGCUCUAAUCGGAGCUGUAGCUGCCAGCCUACACCACAGCCACGGCAACGAGGGAUCUGAGCCGCAUCUGUGACCUACAUCACAGCUCACGGCAAUGCCGGAUCCUUAACCCACUGAGUGAGGCCAGGGAUCAAACCCAAAACCUCAUGGUUCUCAGUCGGAUUUGUUAACCACUGAGCCACAAUGGGAACUCCUAUUUUGGAUAUUAUAUUAACUAAAAGACUGUUUAAAAUUAUAUAAGUGGCUCCCCCCCACCCCCACCCCCGCCAUCAGAUAGCAGUGCAGUAGAAACUGAACCAUAUUUAGAGCCUCCACCAGGCAGCUGGGCUGGAGCACUUGAAGUGGCUAGUUUCUAGUUCUGCUUCCUUACUCAGAAAAUCAGCGAUACCGCUUUCAUAAUGAGUUCCUCUUUUGCUGACAGUAUGGUGAAUUAAUUGUUUUCCUCCUAAAACCAGUCUUUCUUAGUAAGCACAACCUUUAAAGAUCACAGACUUAUGAGUUAAGCAGACUUAGGUUUGUAUCCUCCUCUAGGAAAUAAGCGAAAUAAUCCUUACUUCCUGGGAUUGCUGUGCAGGAUGAGAUGAUGCAUAAGGUGCUCGCAGCGGCACUCUGUAACUGGUCCAGGUAAUGGCUAUUGUAUUACUAUAGGAGUGAGUUCAGCUUUUCUUGAGAAUUCCAAAGGGAUCCAGGAAGGAUGCCUGGCGCUCCAUUGUCCAGGCGCUCCAUUGUCCAGUCCAUAAAUAUCCCCUGCCUAGUUUCAUAGCAUGGAUAAGAGCCUGCCUUCCACUGUCUGGAAAGACCUGGACCAAACACUGGUAAAUGUUCUUAGGGUCCUUUGCUGGGUCCAUAACCCCCUGCCACCCAGCAUCCUCACUGAGUCCCCCUUCAAUGUUAACCUCAUCAAAGCAUGAGGAGAAGUUUAUUUCUUGUCCCACCAGUUUUUGUACAGUUUAUGAGGACCACAGAAAGAGGACAUGGAAAUAGCUUCCUUGUAUGAAGAAUCUGUUGGGAUGCAGAUUCUGUACUAAGCACUAUAUGUGCAUUAUUUCGAAUCUGCAUGACACACCUGCAAGGUGGAUAUCAUUGUCCCCAGUUGACACCACAAACUAAAAUUCUGAGAGGUUGAGUGACUUUGUCCUAGGCCACCUAGCUGAUGCUUAUAAAACCUUUAAAGUAUGCCUGAAUUGGGUGGAGCGCUAACCCUUCAGGCUGUGUGAGCUCGGGUGGGUUGCUUAACUUCUCUGUUUUCCCUGUCUGUAACUUGGGGAAAAUACAGUGUGUCAUGAGGAAGACAAUGAGAUAAGCAUCACACAUUUAGUAUAAAGCUCCCCUAUUGAAGGGUCUUUAAAUUACAUGGAAAUCUUUUCUUGGCCAUUGAAAUUUUUCAUAUCUUAGUAUUUUUUUUUUUUUUUUUAUUUUAACAGCUGCACCUGCAGCAUGUGGAAGUUCCCCGUCUAGGGGUUGAAUUGGAACUGCAGCUGCAGACCUACACCACAGCCAUGGCAACCCUGGAUCCAAGCACAGCUUGUGGCAAUGCCGGGUCCUUAAUCCACUGAGUGAGGCCAGGGAUUGAACCCGCACCCUCAUGGACACUAUGUCAGGGUCUUAACCCACUGAGCCACGGUGGGAACUCCCUCAUAUCUUAUUAAAAAAAAAUCAGUAUUUACUGAACAGAUUCUGUAUCAGAAAACAGAGCACAAGGUGUAUCUUCAUGAAAUAAAACAUGAAACACGCAGUCAAUGAUUUUAUUAUUUGGCAUUAGGAUAUCAAAGAAGUUUGUAAGAUUGUUUUUCCAGCAUAAAUUCCUUGGCAUUGCUUGAGAGAGCAUCUCAAACAGCGUGAAUAACAAACACAUUGUUAAAAUUUUCUCUUACCAGUGUUCUGACUUUCGUCUUUGAUCUUAUGAAUUUAGGCCAACACUUUGUUUUCUGUUUCUGUCCUGUAUACUCCGUUGGCAGGCAACACUUAAAAGCCCUGCGAAGAGAAACUUUGUGGGUGAAGACAA
This 3495-nucleotide long non-coding RNA is filed under the name Sus scrofa (pig). RNAcentral describes it as "lncRNA (ENSSSCG00025038620.1)". Lineage: Eukaryota; Metazoa; Chordata; Mammalia; Artiodactyla; Suidae. The record is from RNAcentral.